Molecule: ribosomal RNA, 254 nt
Filed under: uncultured bacterium
Lineage: Bacteria
Description: partial 16S ribosomal RNA
Rfam family: Bacterial small subunit ribosomal RNA
Source: RNAcentral
UACGUAGGGGGCAAGCGUUGUCCGGAUUUAUUGGGCGUAAAGAGCGUGUAGGCGGUUUUGGUAGGUCCGUUGUGAAAACUCGAGGCUCAACCUCGAGACGCCGAUGGAAACCAUCAGACUAGAGUCCGGAAGAGGAGAGUGGAAUUCCUGGUGUAGCGGUGAAAUGCGCAGAUAUCAGGAAGAACACCCGUGGCUAAGGCGGCUCUCUAGUACGGUACUGACGCUGAGACGCGAAAGCGUGGGGAGCGAACAGG